AUACCUUUCUCGGCCUUUUGGCUAAGAUCAAGUGUAGUAUCUGUUCUUAUCAGUUUAAUAUCUGAUACGUGGGCCAUCGGUCCACAUGAUAUUAAAUUAAUUUUUUCAGGGGGAGAGUCCGCCACAGUAGCUUGCUACUGGGGCUCUCGGGUGUCACCUUGGCGUUGCACUACUGCCUUGGCUUGGCGCACCCCAC
RNAcentral lists this small nuclear RNA (196 nucleotides) under Eucalyptus grandis. Its description in RNAcentral is "U2 spliceosomal RNA". It matches the Rfam family "U2 spliceosomal RNA". Rfam says of the family: U2 is a small nuclear RNA (snRNA) component of the spliceosome (involved in pre-mRNA splicing). Complementary binding between U2 snRNA (in an area lying towards the 5' end but 3' to hairpin I) and the branchpoint sequence (BPS) of the intron results the bulging out of an unpaired adenosine, on the BPS, which initiates a nucleophilic attack at the intronic 5' splice site, thus starting the first of two transesterification reactions that mediate splicing. The record is from Rfam by way of RNAcentral. Lineage: Eukaryota; Viridiplantae; Streptophyta; Magnoliopsida; Myrtales; Myrtaceae.